RNAcentral lists this long non-coding RNA (1247 nucleotides) under Lactuca sativa (garden lettuce). Its description in RNAcentral is "long non-coding RNA (LSAT_LNC010352)". The record is from RNAcentral. Lineage: Eukaryota; Viridiplantae; Streptophyta; Magnoliopsida; Asterales; Asteraceae.
AAUUUAUUUUGUUUUCAUUAUUUAUAACUAACAAAGAGGUUUCUAUUGAUGCUUUUGGAUGAAAUUAUUUGUAUAUUUCUCUUUAAUAAUAACAUAAGUUUAGAUGCAAUAAAAUUCGACUUGCCCAAAUUGAAUUGAGAAGUGUCAAUAGAAAUAAUUCAUUUGAUUAAAUUAGCAACUUUAUAUCAACAUUAUUAUGUUCUCAUUCUAUAUAGCCAAUUAAAAGGUUUUUGUAGACGCUUUUGGACGAAAUUCAUUAUACAUUUCGAUAACGUAAGUUUAGAGGCUAUAAAUUCGACUUCCCCAAUUUUGAAUUCAAAAGUGGCACCAAAUAUAACUUAUUUGAUUGUAUUAACAACUUUUUAUCCAAUUUAUUACGUUUUCAUUAUUUAUAACUAACAAACAGGUUUUUCUAGACGCUUUUGGAUGAAAUUAUUUGUAUAUUUCUCUUUAAAAAUAACAUAAGUUUAGAUGCAAUAAAGUUCGACUUGCCCAAUUUGAAUUGAGAAGUGUCACCAGAAAUAAUUCAUUUGAGUAAAUUAGCAACUUUAUAUCAACAUUACUAUGUUCUCAUUCUAUAUAGCCAUUAAAAUGUUUUUAUAGACGCUUUUGGACGAAUUCAUUAUAAAUUUCGAUAACAUAAGUUUAGAGGUUAUAAAUUCGACUUCCCCAAUUUUGAAUUCAAAAGUGGCACCAAAUAUAAUUUAUUUGAUUGUAUUAGCAACUUUUUAUCAAAUUUAUUAUGUUUUCAUUAUUUAUAACUAACAAACAGGUUUCUAUUGAUGCUUUUGGAUGAAAUUAUUUGUAUAUUUCUCUUUAAUAAUAACAUAAGUUUAGAUGCAAUAAAGUUCGACUUGCCCAAUUUGAAUUGAGAAGUGUCACCAGAAAUAAUUCAUUUGAUUAAAUUAGCAACUUUAUAUCAACAUUAUUAUGUUCUCAUUCUAUAUAGCCAAUUAAAAGUUUUUUAUAGACGCUUUUGGAUGAAAUUCAUUAUACAUUUCGAUAAUGUAAGUUUAGAGGCUAUAAAUUCGACUUCUCCAAUUUUGAAUUCAAAAGUGGCACCAAAUAUAACUUAUUUGAUUAUAUUAGCAACUUUUUUAUCAACUUUAUUACAUUUUCAUUAUUUAUAACUAACAAACAGGUUUUUCUAGACGCGUUUGGAUGAAAAUAUUUGUAUAUUUCUCUUUAAAAAUAAUUAAGAUUAGAUUUAAUAAACUUCGACUUGCCCAAUUUGAAUUGAGAAGUGU